Non-coding RNA from Podarcis lilfordi (Lilford's wall lizard), 71 nucleotides. Lineage: Eukaryota; Metazoa; Chordata; Lepidosauria; Squamata; Lacertidae. The record is from the annotation of a GenBank genome assembly.
GGGCUGUAACUCAGAGCUAGAGCAUCUGCUUUGCAUGCAGAAGGUCCCAGGUUCAAUCCCCGGUGGCAUCU